Acomys russatus (golden spiny mouse) is the source of this 105-nucleotide small nuclear RNA. The record is from RefSeq and is a predicted model, not a curated record. NCBI's taxonomy places the organism in Eukaryota, Metazoa, Chordata, Mammalia, Rodentia, Muridae.
AAGCUCACUUUGGCAACAUGCAUACUAAAAUGUAAACGAUACAGAAGAUUAACAUGGCCCCUGUGUAAUGAUGACACGCAAAUUCAUGAAGUGUUCUACUUUAAA